This 493-nucleotide ribosomal RNA is filed under the name uncultured bacterium. RNAcentral's name for it is "partial 16S ribosomal RNA". It matches the Rfam family "Bacterial small subunit ribosomal RNA", at positions 30 to 523 of the family's 1533-position model. The record is from RNAcentral.
AUUGAACGCUGGCGGCAUGCUUUACACAUGUAAGUCGAACGGUAACAGGUUAAGCUGACGAGUGGCGAACGGGUGAGUAAUGCAUCGGAACGUGCCCGGUCGUGGGGGAUAACGCAGCGAAAGCUGCGCUAAUACCGCAUACGAUCUAAGGAUGAAAGCGGGGGACCGUAAGGCCUCGCGCGAUCGGAGCGGCCGAUGUCAGAUUAGGUAGUUGGUGGGGUAAGGGCUCACCAAGCCAACGAUCUGUAGCUGGUCUGAGAGGACGACCAGCCACACUGGGACUGAGACACGGCCCAGACUCCUACGGGAGGCAGCAGUGGGGAAUUCUGGACAAUGGGCGAAAGCCUGAUCCAGCAAUGCCGCGUGCAGGAAGAAGGCCUUCGGGUUGUAAACUGCUUUUGUACGGAGCGAAAAGGUCUCCUCUAAUACAGGGGGCUCAUGACGGUACCGUAAGAAUAAGCACCGGCUAACUACGUGCCAGCAGCCGCCGUAA